RNAcentral lists this long non-coding RNA (422 nucleotides) under Triticum aestivum (bread wheat). Its description in RNAcentral is "long non-coding RNA (TAES_LNC020298)". Lineage: Eukaryota; Viridiplantae; Streptophyta; Magnoliopsida; Poales; Poaceae. The record is from RNAcentral.
UUGCAUAUAUGUUAGUCUUUUGAGUAAUUUUUCUUCCACCUUUCUUUUGACUACCAUCACCAUCAAGCUCACGAGUAAUCUCUUCAUGCAAGAAAAUUAACAGUCAUACAAUAAUUCUAGCAAGUGACAUUAGGUUAGAAUAUGAACAAUUAUAGCAAGUGACAUUAGGCUACCUUUGGAAGGCUGAUGCUCAGGAUCAACAUGAUCUUGAUCUUUUGAUACCCUAGACCUCAAAACACGUCCUUCAUUCGCGCUUACAGGUGCGCUGGAGGGUGCCUGCAUAGAUAUAUAGGUUAGUGUUGCAAGCUACAUUUGCUUCCUUCAGGUAGAACAUGAAUGUGAUGGAAGCUACAUACCUUUCUUUUCUUUUGGGGGGCUUGGUUCGCUUCCAUAUCUUCCUGCAUAGAAGCUCUUGUUGCUCG